This 445-nucleotide non-coding RNA is filed under the name Pan troglodytes (chimpanzee). Lineage: Eukaryota; Metazoa; Chordata; Mammalia; Primates; Hominidae. The record is from RNAcentral.
CAGGAGAGGGUGUGCUGCCAAGUAGGACGGCGGGCAAAGGGCUUCUUCAAGUUUCUGCGCUGGAGUCACAACCUGAGAGGAAUCACUGUCUGGCGUUGGUGUCUGAGCAGAAGCCGCAGGAACGAGCAGGAGCAGCAGGAGGAGCUGCAGGACUUGUUUGCCGAGUCACGUAAUGAUCGGGUAUCAGAAAAAGACGUCAGCAUCCUAGUCCCUCAAGGAACAUAUUAACUAUUCUGUGCUGUCCUCUUGGAUGAUAAGAUCCGGAGUCAUCGACUUCUCAUAAACACCUUUCACUCAUACAAUCCAAUUUUUAAGAAGUCCAAUUAUUUUGAUGGUUUUCAAUUUCACCCAUUUCUCAAGGACAGCCCCACCAAUCAGAGCUCUGGUCUCUGGAAUUAAGCAUCAUCAAGCUCUCCUAUUAAUAAAUUUAAUUUAGAUCUCCUAA